AGAGUUUGAUCCUGGCUCAGAUUGAACGCUGGCGGCACGCCUAACACAUGCAAGUCGAGCGGCAGCAUGAUUAGUAGCAAUACUAGUUGAUGGCGAGCGGCGGACGGGUGAGGAACACGUAGGAACCUAUCCUCGAGAGGGGGACAACCAAGGGAAACUUUGGCUAAUACCGCGUAAACUCGAGAGAGCAAAGCUGUCGC
This 200-nucleotide ribosomal RNA is filed under the name uncultured bacterium. RNAcentral describes it as "partial 16S ribosomal RNA". It matches the Rfam family "Bacterial small subunit ribosomal RNA", at positions 8 to 213 of the family's 1533-position model. The record is from RNAcentral.